Molecule: ribosomal RNA, 642 nt
Filed under: uncultured bacterium
Lineage: Bacteria
Description: bacterial SSU rRNA
Rfam family: Bacterial small subunit ribosomal RNA
Source: RNAcentral
CGGAGAGUUUGAUCCUGGCUCAGAUUGAACGCUGGCGGCAUGCCUUACACAUGCAAGUCGAACGGCAGCACGGAGCUUGCUCUGGUGGCGAGUGGCGAACGGGUGAGUAAUAUAUCGGAACGUACCCUAGAGUGGGGGAUAACGUAGCGAAAGUUACGCUAAUACCGCAUACGAUCUAAGGAUGAAAGUGGGGGAUCGCAAGACCUCAUGCUCGUGGAGCGGCCGAUAUCUGAUUAGCUAGUUGGUAGGGUAAAAGCCUACCAAGGCAUCGAUCAGUAGCUGGUCUGAGAGGACGACCAGCCACACUGGAACUGAGACACGGUCCAGACUCCUACGGGAGGCAGCAGUGGGGAAUUUUGGACAAUGGGCGAAAGCCUGAUCCAGCAAUGCCGCGUGAGUGAAGAAGGCCUUCGGGUUGUAAAGCUCUUUUGUCAGGGAAGAAACGGUGAGGGCUAAUAUCUCUUGCUAAUGACGGUACCUGAAGAAUAAGCACCGGCUAACUACGUGCCAGCAGCCGCGGUAAUACGUAGGGUGCAAGCGUUAAUCGGAAUUACUGGGCGUAAAGCGUGCGCAGGCGGUUUUGUAAGUCUGAUGUGAAAUCCCCGGGCUCAACCUGGGAAUUGCAUUGGAGACUGCAAGGCU